UACGUAGGGUGCAAGCGUUGUCCGGAAUUAUUGGGCGUAAAGAGCUCGUAGGCGGUCUGUCGCGUCUGCUGUGAAAACUCGGGGCUUAACCCCGGGCCUGCAGUGGGUACGGGCAGACUAGAGUGCGGUAGGGGAGACUGGAAUUCCUGGUGUAGCGGUGAAAUGCGCAGAUAUCAGGAGGAACACCAAUGGCGAAGGCAGCACUCUGGGACGUGACUGACGCUGAGACGCGAAAGCGUGGGGAGCAAACAGG
RNAcentral lists this ribosomal RNA (253 nucleotides) under uncultured bacterium. RNAcentral's name for it is "partial 16S ribosomal RNA". It matches the Rfam family "Bacterial small subunit ribosomal RNA", at positions 524 to 776 of the family's 1533-position model. The record is from RNAcentral.